GACCCCGUAGCUCAGCUGGAUAGAGCAGCUGCCUUCUAAGCAGCAGGUCGCGUGUUCGAAUCACGCCGGGGUCGCCA
Molecule: transfer RNA, 77 nt
Filed under: Rhodospirillaceae bacterium
Lineage: Bacteria; Pseudomonadati; Pseudomonadota; Alphaproteobacteria; Rhodospirillales; Rhodospirillaceae
Also listed under: 1 other name
Description: tRNA-Arg
Rfam family: tRNA
About the family: Transfer RNA (tRNA) molecules are approximately 80 nucleotides in length.
Source: RNAcentral